GGCUCAUUAAAUGGCCCUUGAAUCAAAAUGAGUUUGACACCCCUGUUCUAGACUAUAUAGCAUCAACACAACCUAAAGUUUUGAAGAAAGACCCAACCUUCCAGCUCAAGGCCUCCUUAGACAAAUUAACUUCUAACAGACUCUUUCCCCAAGAAUGGAAGCAUGCGAAAAUACAAGCACCAAUGUGCCCUCGGCUAUUCGCAUAUAUGAAGACACACAAACAGCCGGUUAAGCCUCGACCCAUAGUCGAAAAAAGAAGCGCUCCUACUUUUAAUUUAGAGAAAGCUAUAGCCAGUUGGUGUUUGACUAUAUUGGGCCAGAAUGAGAAUUCCACCCCCAUUACAGAGGAAGCCUUGAACAGGAUUAGAAUGAUAACAUGGCAACCCCACUAUAUUAUGGCUGUGUUUGACU
This 411-nucleotide long non-coding RNA is filed under the name Androctonus crassicauda. The record is from RNAcentral. Lineage: Eukaryota; Metazoa; Arthropoda; Arachnida; Scorpiones; Buthidae.